This 640-nucleotide ribosomal RNA is filed under the name uncultured Actinomycetes bacterium. Its description in RNAcentral is "bacterial SSU rRNA". It matches the Rfam family "Bacterial small subunit ribosomal RNA", at positions 231 to 885 of the family's 1533-position model. The record is from RNAcentral. Lineage: Bacteria; Bacillati; Actinomycetota; Actinomycetes.
UCGCGGCCUAUCAGCUUGUUGGUGGGGUAACGGCCCACCAAGGCAUCGACGGGUAGCUGGUCUGAGAGGACGAUCAGCCACACUGGGACUGAGACACGGCCCAGACUCCUACGGGAGGCAGCAGUGGGGAAUCUUGCGCAAUGGGCGAAAGCCUGACGCAGCAACGCCGCGUGGGGGAUGAAGGCUCUCGGGUUGUAAACCCCUUUCAGCAGGGACGAAUCAAGACGGUACCUGCAGAAGAAGCCCCGGCUAACUACGUGCCAGCAGCCGCGGUAACACGUAGGGGGCAAGCGUUGUCCGGAUUUAUUGGGCGUAAAGAGCUCGUAGGUGGCUGAGUAAGUCGGAUGUUAAAUCCCCAGGCUCAACCUGGGACACCACCCGAUACUGCUCUGGCUAGAGUCCGGUAGGGGAGCGUGGAAUUCCUAGUGUAGCGGUGAAAUGCGCAGAUAUUAGGAGGAACACCAGCGGCGAAGGCGGCGCUCUGGGCCGGUACUGACACUGAGGAGCGAAAGCGUGGGUAGCAAACAGGAUUAGAUACCCUGGUAGUCCACGCCGUAAACGUUGGGCACUAGGUGUGGGGUCUAUUCAACGGACUCCGUGCCGUAGCUAACGCAUUAAGUGCCCCGCCUGGGGAGUACGG